This 471-nucleotide ribosomal RNA is filed under the name uncultured organism. Its description in RNAcentral is "partial 16S ribosomal RNA". It matches the Rfam family "Bacterial small subunit ribosomal RNA", at positions 335 to 797 of the family's 1533-position model. The record is from RNAcentral.
ACUCCUACGGGAGGCAGCAGUGGGGAAUUUUGGACAAUGGGCGAAAGCCUGAUCCAGCAAUGCCGCGUGAGUGAAGAAGGCCUUCGGGUUGUAAAGCUCUUUUGUCAGGGAAGAAACGGUGAAAGCUAAUAUCUUUUGCUAAUGACGGUACCUGAAGAAUAAGCACCGGCUAACUACGUGCCAGCAGCCGCGGUAAUACGUAGGGUGCAAGCGUUAAUCGGAAUUACUGGGCGUAAAGCGUGCGCAGGCGGUUUUGUAAGUCUGAUGUGAAAUCCCCGGGCUCAACCUGGGAAUUGCAUUGGAGACUGCAAGGCUAGAAUCUGGCAGAGGGGGGUAGAAUUCCACGUGUAGCAGUGAAAUGCGUAGAUAUGUGGAGGAACACCGAUGGCGAAGGCAGCCCCCUGGGUCAAGAUUGACGCUCAUGCACGAAAGCGUGGGGAGCAAACAGGAUUAGAUACCCGUGUAGUCCCA